This is a long non-coding RNA of Eptatretus burgeri (inshore hagfish), 1932 nucleotides long. Lineage: Eukaryota; Metazoa; Chordata; Myxini; Myxiniformes; Myxinidae. The record is from Ensembl.
UUUGUGCUUUGUCAAAAAACGGUCUGAAACGUUGUCUGGCCCAAACGCCAGGGAGGAGCAACAAGCAAUAGGAGGAGGAUCUCAGUAAUCGGAGGAGCUACAGGUAAUAGGAGGAGCUGCAUUGGUGGAGGAACUCAGUAAUGGGAGGAGCUACAAGUGAUUGGAGGAGUCAAAACAGCUUGUUUCAUGGAACAAAAAGAAGAGAAGAGAAGGAAGCAAGAACAAAAAGAGGAGCUUUGGUACAAGAAGAUGCAACAUGCAGGUCGAUCCAGAGGAUGUGAAGGUCUAACUGCACUUGCAGCAUUGGUGGCUGAAUGGGCUGUUCAGGAUUCGGAGGAGGCAGCGAGGGUGGCCAGAUGUCAGACGAGGCUCCAUGAACAGGAUGGCUGCACAGGUACCCAAUUACAGGGCACCUGGACAUGUCAACCUCGACCUUCACCAUUCGUUUCUGCAGUCACUGCCACGACAUCUUGUGGACAAGACUCCAGAUCAAAGGCAGUGCAGAGUGGUCCAGAAGUUGACGACGACCAUGAUGGGUUUUCUCAGCGUGCUUUGAACAGAGAAGAAAAGGAAGUGAAAAAUUCAGAGUUCAUGAUCAAUAUCAGGAAAGUGCCAGGAAGUGUAAGUACAAAUGAGAAAUUUGCAGGUGCAAAUGAGCAAAUCAAGAUAAAUGAGUGGAGGAGCGAAGGGUUCGUAAAGCGGAAUAAAGUGAAGGAGAUUGCUUCGACACUGGAGGAAUUUGUAAUCAGAGAAAAGCAGGAUAGAUUGAGAAAAUGUCCGACAAACAAAGGAAAAGAAAAUCAUGCAGGGAAGGGAAAAAUGGACACGAGUCCGAAAGAUUGCUGGAAAACAAACAAGGUGGAAAUAUAAACAUAAACAACGUGAUUUCGACAAAGAUGUGUGGUACAUUUAAAAAUGGCACUUUGAGAUGCAACGGUGGAUCCGACGGCAAUCGGGUGAUCGGCAGUAACUCAGCAAGCGAGGGAUGGAAGAAUCAUCCGAUGGAGCGGAAUGAGUCACGGAAGAGGUUGGAACCGGAGGGAUUGGAGGGAGUGCCAAAUGGAAGGCCGGAGGCUGAGUGGCCGUCCAGGUGGAUUGAAGGAAAUGAUGAUGGUGGACGAGGAAGAGUGGAGAGAUAUGAGAGUAAUCAUGGAAAAGCUGACCCCGACCUGAAGCCGGCUUUACAAAAGGACAAAAAUGUGAAUAAACACCUUGAUAAGGAAGCAGGAUCUGAUGUCGUUCAAAAGAAAUGGAAUUUAUGGGAAAACACUCAAGGCGCAGUGGUGGCAAAGACUUUUGUGAAGGUUCCUACAGCCAUGACUGGACAAAUGUACACUUUCGUGAUGGUGGGGCCUCAAGCUUAUAAGAGAGUUCCUGUUCCAUCCUCAGAACCAGCACCACCAAGCUCUGCAGCCAUUGCCACACAGAAGUACCAAAGCAACGACACCGUGGAAACUCCAAUUUUGAGUCCUUCUGUCGAGCAUGUGCCAUUUUGACCUGGAAGUGCAACCUUCAUCGGUACUCCUGCAUCACACCUGAGCUGUUAUUGCAAAGCCCUUACCAAUGUCAUCACAGUUUAAUCGUCACACUCAACUCUCUCACUCUCACUUUUCAUCUUCCCUUGUCGAUCUGACUGAUGCAGAUUAACUGUGGCUUUUCAUGGCAAUCCAUUUUGUUUUCUGUUUUUUGAAGAAUAAACCUUUAAAUGUCUUCUUCACCAGAACGGCUGCACAGAUCGAGGGGAAACUUCACACACAUUCCACAAGCCUUGGGGAUACCAGGAUGUUCACUAAUAAAUCAUAGCUCACAUGGUCUGACAGCAUGGGUCACAUGGUCUGGCAACCAUGAUUUUUUUUGAAGAAUAAACCUUUAGAAAUCUUCUUUAGAACAUCUGGACAGAUCGAGGGGAAACGUCACACAAAUGUUUCGCAA